UUACUCAAAGCCAGGGGCAGAGGUGCAGCUUGGCAAGAGGGUUUGCCCUGUCUCACAUUUCACCAUGUAUGUGCUUAAUGAUUUAUCCAGUUAAAUGCAGAUUUCCAUUACUGUUUGUGAAUAAGGUUGAUAACGUACGUAUUCAACGUAAAAGUUACAUCGAAGGGUCAAACUGUUUCAAUACAAUUGCUAGGUUAACAAAAGAUGAGAGAAGCACCGCUGAUUUUGAGAAAAAUUUGAUGGGACCAGUGACGACUGAUUUACUAUUGAAUCAUUAAAAGAAGGGGUAAAGGUCUUCGGAGUAACAGGAUGAUCAGCAAGGUCAAGCAAAAUGUAGACCAAAUCUGACUCAUGGAGAGAGAGAGCCACGAAGAAUUCUUUUGUGACCUUAGCAGCAACAGAAUAUAACUGGCAUGGAACUGGCAGAGCAAAAGCUGCUGGCAGUAGGAAGAGGAAGACAGACACAGCCGGUACGUGAAGGUCCAGUAAAUAUUGAAAAGAGCAAUACUUCUAUGCUGAACACACAUUUACACUUCAGUUUUUUAAUUAUUCCUAUAAUUAUAUGUGAAUAACAUAAGCCUGCACCUGAGAGAUAUUAAUAAGCUAACCAUACG
This is a long non-coding RNA of Orcinus orca (killer whale), 614 nucleotides long. RefSeq lists it as uncharacterized. NCBI's taxonomy places the organism in Eukaryota, Metazoa, Chordata, Mammalia, Artiodactyla, Delphinidae. The record is from RefSeq and is a predicted model, not a curated record. The transcript is spliced from 3 exons.